Molecule: long non-coding RNA, 1748 nt
Organism: Dromaius novaehollandiae (emu)
Lineage: Eukaryota; Metazoa; Chordata; Aves; Casuariiformes; Dromaiidae
Exons: 2
Source: RefSeq, a predicted model, not a curated record
UUAUUCCAUCCCAGCGGCAGGACUUUGCACUUGCUUUUGCUGAACUUCUUGAGGUUCCUGCCAGUCAGAUUCACUGGCCUGUCCAGGUUCUUCUGAAGACCAGCCCUGCCCUCCAGCAUACUGACUGUUCCCCUCAAUUUCAGGUUGUCUGCAAACUUGCUGAGAGUGCACUCCAUGCUCUCAUCCUGAUUUUACCUUUGAUCCAUGCUGCCUGCUCUGAACCGUCUUGUUGUUCUUCGUGUAUUUAUCUCCUAAGACAAUUUGCUCUGUAUCCCACAUAGGGACUGAGGUGUGGCUGAUCAGCCUGUAACUACGUGGAUCCUCCUUCUUGUCCUUCUUCAAGAUGGGUGUGACAUUGGCUAUUUUUCCACUCAUCAGGAACCUCCCCAUUUGCCAUGAUCUUUUGAAGAUGAUAGAGAGGAGACUCAUCAUCAUCAUGCCAUCAUCAGUGGUCACUUCAGCAACCUCAGACACCUCCCAGCUGCUCCUAUGGACUUGUGGAUGGAAAAUAUUUCCCAUCAUGGGAAAGGGAGGUAAACUUUAAUACCCUUGAGGUCAAGGUGGAACAUCUGAGUGGAGGAACUGAAUUGUCUCUAUCAUGAAGAAGAGUCUCCAAAUAAAUUACUGAUAUUAAAAACUGGAUCUACAGUGAAGACAGUUUUACACACUGAAGGCAAACUUAAAAAUGCUAUUCUGCUGAUUUUGAGUGACAGUUUAUAAAAUCUUCCUGCUUGAUACAACUCAUUGACCUUUAACAUGAUUUUAUUCUACUUCUGUACCUAUAAUCAUGAUAUAUCUAGGGAACAGUAGACUUUUUUCAAUCAGUUUUACUACCGCAAAGCUCUACAACAAAGUAACAAAACUCCAGGGAAUCUGCUGUGGUCUCGAAUGAUUCCUCCUAUCAUCAUCUGUUUCCUUUGUCAAUAUUUUUGUGCUAUAUUAACUUCACUCAGAUUUUUGUAUUUGAUGUUGGCUCUCUCAAAUGUUAAAAAUAGCUUUAGGAAUUUUAAUCUUCAGUGUUUGGUUGUAUGCAUCCCAAUUCAUGUAAUUUACAUAAGCCCACACACGUAUUUAGAAAUCAUAUAUAAUUUGUUACUCAUGCUAGGUAUGAAGUUACAUGUAUAUCUUGUUACAGUGUUCUCAUUCAUAUUAUUCAUAACAGCAUUAAACACUCAUAUGCUUUUGGGUAUACUAGGAGCUAUCUCAUCAAGCUAAUUGUUAGGCAUUUGAGAUAAAAUUCUGUCUCCAUGUCCUGAAGCUCCAAUUUUUAAUUCAAAAUUAUGCCAGACAUUGUUUACAUUCAUCUACUGCUUUUGAAAGUGAGAGUAGAUUGGCUAUAACAAAGACAUUAGAGGAAAAGCUGGAGUGCAGAGUGCUGCUUCUCUCACUCACCAUGACUUUUUGCAGCUGAUGAUUUUGGGAGUGGAAGGUUAUGGAGAAAGGGACUGGUAAUAUUUGUGCAGAAAUCAGUGCUUGGUACAGAUGGAAAGAAUAUGUUUGAAUACAAUGUUCCAAAGUACUUACAGGACUGAGUACAAUAUGUUGAGUUCAUACACUAAUUUGGAAGGUAUGCCCCUCGGGAUAAAUAUGGGUAUAUCCUAUUGCUAUAGUUAGCAGUAAUUAUAUUUUUAUUUCUAAUAGAGAAAUAAUAUCCACAUUCUUGUAUUUGAAAUAUAAACCAAUAACUUCAGAAUGUAAAAGUCAACUCUGAUAUGAAAAUAAAAAGAGCUAUUGAUUUUCUCUUGCAA